GUCCCAGCUGUAAACGAUGCUCACUAGGUGUUGGGGGGUUACUCCCUCAGUGCCGCAGCUAACGCAUUAAGUGAGCCGCCUGGGGAGUACGGCCGCAAGGUUGAAACUCAAAGGAAUUGACGGGGGCCCGCACAAGCGGUGGAGCAUGUGGUUUAAUUCGAUGCUAAGCGAAGAACCUUACCAGGGUUUGACAUGCAGGUAGUACCGAACUGAAAGGGGAGGGACUCGUAAAGUCGAGAUCCUGCACAGGUGGUGCAUGGCUGUCGU
Molecule: ribosomal RNA, 267 nt
Filed under: uncultured bacterium
Lineage: Bacteria
Description: partial 16S ribosomal RNA
Rfam family: Bacterial small subunit ribosomal RNA
Source: RNAcentral